AGAGUUUGAUCAUGGCUCAGAUUGAACGCUGGCGGCAGGCCUAACACAUGCAAGUCGAGCGGUAGCACAGAGAGCUUGCUCUCGGGUGACGAGCGGCGGACGGGUGAGUAAUGUCUGGGAAACUGCCUGAUGGAGGGGGAUAACUACUGGAAACGGUAGCUAAUACCGCAUAAUGUCGCAAGACCAAAGUGGGGGACCUUCGGGCCUCAUGCCAUCAGAUGUGCCCAGAUGGGAUUAGCUAGUAGGUGGGGUAACGGCUCACCUAGGCGACGAUCCCUAGCUGGUCUGAGAGGAUGACCAGCCACACUGGAACUGAGACACGGUCCAGACUCCUACGGGAGGCAGCAGUGGGGAAUAUUGCACAAUGGGCGCAAGCCUGAUGCAGCCAUGCCGCGUGUGUGAAGAAGGCCUUCGGGUUGUAAAGCACUUUCAGCGGGGAGGAAGGCGGUAAGGUUAAUAACCUUGUCGAUUGACGUUACCCGCAGAAGAAGCACCGGCUAACUCCGUGCCAGCAGCCGCGGUAAUACGGAGGGUGCAAGCGUUAAUCGGAAUUACUGGGCGUAAAGCGCACGCAGGCGGUCUGUCAAGUCGGAUGUGAAAUCCCCGGGCUCAACCUGGGAACUGCAUUCGAAACUGGCAGGCUAGAGUCUUGUAGAGGGGGGUAGAAUUCCAGGUGUAGCGGUGAAAUGCGUAGAGAUCUGGAGGAAUACCGGUGGCGAAGGCGGCCCCCUGGACAAAGACUGACGCUCAGGUGCGAAAGCGUGGGGAGCAAACAGGAUUAGAUACCCUGGUAGUCCACGCCGUAAACGAUGUCGAUUUGGAGGUUGUGCCCUUGAGGCGUGGCUUCCGGAGCUAACGCGUUAAAUCGACCGCCUGGGGAGUACGGCCGCAAGGUUAAAACUCAAAUGAAUUGACGGGGGCCCGCACAAGCGGUGGAGCAUGUGGUUUAAUUCGAUGCAACGCGAAGAACCUUACCUGGUCUUGACAUCCACAGAACUUUCCAGAGAUGGAUUGGUGCCUUCGGGAACUGUGAGACAGGUGCUGCAUGGCUGUCGUCAGCUCGUGUUGUGAAAUGUUGGGUUAAGUCCCGCAACGAGCGCAACCCUUAUCCUUUGUUGCCAGCGGUCCGGCCGGGAACUCAAAGGAGACUGCCAGUGAUAAACUGGAGGAAGGUGGGGAUGACGUCAAGUCAUCAUGGCCCUUACGACCAGGGCUACACACGUGCUACAAUGGCAUAUACAAAGAGAAGCGACCUCGCGAGAGCAAGCGGACCUCAUAAAGUAUGUCGUAGUCCGGAUUGGAGUCUGCAACUCGACUCCAUGAAGUCGGAAUCGCUAGUAAUCGUAGAUCAGAAUGCUACGGUGAAUACGUUCCCGGGCCUUGUACACACCGCCCGUCACACCAUGGGAGUGGGUUGCAAAAGAAGUAGGUAGCUUAACCUUCGGGAGGGCGCUUACCACUUUGUGAUUCAUGACUGGGGUGAAGUCGUAACAAGGUAACCGUAGGGGAACCUGCGGUUG
This 1520-nucleotide ribosomal RNA is filed under the name Klebsiella pneumoniae. RNAcentral's name for it is "bacterial SSU rRNA". It matches the Rfam family "Bacterial small subunit ribosomal RNA". Lineage: Bacteria; Pseudomonadati; Pseudomonadota; Gammaproteobacteria; Enterobacterales; Enterobacteriaceae. The record is from RNAcentral.